UCGCCUCACGUACGCGAAU
This 19-nucleotide small nuclear RNA is filed under the name Arabidopsis thaliana (thale cress). RNAcentral describes it as "snRNA_13099". Lineage: Eukaryota; Viridiplantae; Streptophyta; Magnoliopsida; Brassicales; Brassicaceae. The record is from RNAcentral.